Molecule: ribosomal RNA, 166 nt
Filed under: uncultured bacterium
Lineage: Bacteria
Description: partial 16S ribosomal RNA
Rfam family: Bacterial small subunit ribosomal RNA
Source: RNAcentral
UAGGGAAUCUUCCACAAUGGGCGGAAAGACCUGAUGGAGCAACGCCGCGUGUGUGAUGAAGGGUUUCGGCUCGUAAAACACUGUUGUAAGAGAAGAAUGACAUUGAGAGUAACUGUUCAAUGUGUGACGGUAUCUUACCAGAAAGGAACGGCUAAAUACGCGCCAG